AGCGAACGCUGGCGGCAGGCCUAACACAUGCAAGUCGAACGAACCUUUCGGGGUUAGUGGCGGACGGGGGAGGACGACGUGGGGACGUGCAUUUAGGUUCGGAAUAAUUCAGGGAAACUUGUGUUAAGACCGAAUGGGCCCUUCGGGGGAAAGAUUUAUCGCGUUUGGAGCGGCCUGCGUAUGAUUAGUUGGUUGGGUGAGGUAAUGGCUCACCAAGGCGACGAUCAGUGGCUGUUCUGAGAGGAUGCUCCGCCACAUUGGGACUAAGACACGGCCCAAACUCCUACGGGAGGCUGGAGUGGGGAAUCUUAUAGAAUGGGGCCAGACCUGAUCUCGCCACGUCGCGUGAGUCAUGAAUGCCUUAGUGUUGUAAAGCUCUCUCAGCUGAGAAGAUAAUGACGGUACCAGCAGAAGAAGCCCCGGCUAACUCCGUG
RNAcentral lists this ribosomal RNA (434 nucleotides) under uncultured bacterium. RNAcentral's name for it is "partial 16S ribosomal RNA". It matches the Rfam family "Bacterial small subunit ribosomal RNA", at positions 29 to 507 of the family's 1533-position model. The record is from RNAcentral.